Molecule: ribosomal RNA, 491 nt
Filed under: uncultured beta proteobacterium
Lineage: Bacteria; Pseudomonadati; Pseudomonadota; Betaproteobacteria
Description: bacterial SSU rRNA
Rfam family: Bacterial small subunit ribosomal RNA
Source: RNAcentral
GGCGGCAUGCCUUACACAUGCAAGUCGAACGGCAGCACGGGGGCAACCCUGGUGGCGAGUGGCGAACGGGUGAGUAAUACAUCGGAACGUGUCCUGUAGUGGGGGAUAGCCCGGCGAAAGCCGGAUUAAUACCGCAUACGCUCUACGGAGGAAAGGGGGGGAUCUUAGGACCUCUCGCUACAGGGGCGGCCGAUGGCAGAUUAGCUAGUUGGUGGGGUAAAGGCCUACCAAGGCGACGAUCUGUAGCUGGUCUGAGAGGACGACCAGCCACACUGGGACUGAGACACGGCCCAGACUCCUACGGGAGGCAGCAGUGGGGAAUUUUGGACAAUGGGCGCAAGCCUGAUCCAGCAAUGCCGCGUGUGUGAAGAAGGCCUUCGGGUUGUAAAGCACUUUUGUCCGGAAAGAAAACGCUCUGGUUAAUACCCGGGGCGGAUGACGGUACCGGAAGAAUAAGCACCGGCUAACUACGUGCCAGCAGCCGCGGUAAU